GAAGGUGUAGCUCAGUGGUAGGGCAUGUACCCAGAAUGUGCAAGGCCCUGGGUUCAAUCCCCAGCAAUUCA
Molecule: transfer RNA, 71 nt
Filed under: Mus musculus (house mouse)
Lineage: Eukaryota; Metazoa; Chordata; Mammalia; Rodentia; Muridae
Rfam family: tRNA
About the family: Transfer RNA (tRNA) molecules are approximately 80 nucleotides in length. Their secondary structure includes four short double-helical elements and three loops (D, anti-codon, and T loops).
Source: Rfam by way of RNAcentral